GGGCGCCGCAGACCCCGGGCCCCGCCCACCUUACCCCGGCGGGCGCCGACAGGCCCGACGUGAGGGGGCGGGGCAGCCGUCACCACAGCCGUCCCCGCCCUCCUCCGGGCUGCCAAUCACAAGAACUCACCUGGACGAGCUCCGGCCUUUCCGGGUUGGCCCAAAGCCGGGCCUGUCACCUCACUGCAGAGCAUGAGCCGGAGGCCCAGGGCUUCCUCUAUGGAUUCUUCAUUUGCCUCCUCAGCCCCGCUCCUCGCGAGACCCCACGGACGUGGGUGGGGAUUGUUUCGCUCAUUCAUUUAUGAGGAACUUUGAGAAGACCCAGGAUUUGAAUUUCAGCGACUGAGGUGGCGGCUGGAGCUCAGGCGGCAGGCAAGGCUGGGAGGCCCAACGCAAGGGGGCAGGGCAGCUGUCACCACAGCCCUCCCCACCCUCCUCCAGGCUGCCAAUCACAAGAACUCACCUGGACAAGCUCCGGCCUUUCCAGGUUGGCCCCAAGCGGAGCCUGUCACCUACUGCAGAGUUGAUGAUGCCAAGUGGCCCAGACAUUCUUGAGCAAAUGACUUCUCUCUGAGCCCAUUUUCUCACCUAUAAAUUGGAAAUCCUGAAAAAAUA
Long non-coding RNA from Cebus imitator (Panamanian white-faced capuchin), 615 nucleotides. RefSeq lists it as uncharacterized. Lineage: Eukaryota; Metazoa; Chordata; Mammalia; Primates; Cebidae. The record is from RefSeq and is a predicted model, not a curated record. The transcript is spliced from 2 exons.